GAUGAACGCUAGCGGGAGGCCUAACACAUGCAAGCCGAGCGGUAGAGUCUCUUCGGAGACUUGAGAGCGGCGCACGGGUGCGGAACACGUGUGCAACCUGCCUUUAUCUGGAAGAUAGCCCACCGAAAGGUGGAUUAAUACUCCAUAAUAUAUUGAUUGGCAUCAGUUAAUAUUGAAAGCUCCGGCGGAUAAAGAUGGGCACGCGCAAGAUUAGAUAGUUGGUGAGGUAACGGCUCACCAAGUCUGCGAUCUUUAGGGGGCCUGAGAGGGUGAUCCCCCACACUGGUACUGAGACACGGACCAGACUCCUACGGGAGGCAGCAGUGAGGAAUAUUGGACAAUGGGUGCAAGCCUGAUCCAGCCAUCCCGCGUGAAGGAUUAAGGUCCUAUGGAUUGUAAACUUCUUUUCUACAGGGAUAAACCUAUUUACGUGUAAAUAGCUGAAGGUACUGUAGGAAUAAGCACCGGCUAACUCCGUGCCAGCAGCCGCGGUAAUACGGAGGGUGCAAGCGUUAUCCGGAUUUAUUGGGUUUAAAGGGUCCGUAGGCGGAUCUAUAAGUCAGUGGUGAAAGCCGACAGCUUAACUGUCGAACUGCCGUUGAUACUGUAGGUCUUGAGUAAAUUUGAAGUGGCUGGAAUAAGUAGUGUAGCGGUGAAAUGCAUAGAUAUUACUUAGAACACCAAUUGCGAAGGCAGGUCACUAAGAUUUAACUGACGCUGAUGGACGAAAGCGUGGGGAGCGAACAGGAUUAGAUACCCUGGUAGUCCACGCCGUAAACGAUGCUAACUCGUUUUUGGAUUUUCGGAUUCAGAGACCAAGCGAAAGUGAUAAGUUAGCCACCUGGGGAGUACGUUCGCAAGAAUGAAACUCAAAGGAAUUGACGGGGGCCCGCACAAGCGGUGGAUUAUGUGGUUUAAUUCGAUGAUACGCGAGGAACCUUACCAAGACUUAAAUGGGAAAUGACAGAUUUAGAAAUAGAUCCUUCUUCGGACAUUUUUCAAGGUGCUGCAUGGUUGUCGUCAGCUCGUGCCGUGAGGUGUUAGGUUAAGUCCUGCAACGAGCGCAACCCCUGUCACUAGUUGCUAACAUUUAGUUGAGGACUCUAGUGAGACUGCCUACGCAAGUAGAGAGGAAGGUGGGGAUGACGUCAAAUCAUCACGGCCCUUACGUCUUGGGCCACACACGUAAUACAAUGGCCGGUACAGAGGGCAGCUACACAGCGAUGUGAUGCAAAUCUCGAAAGCCGGUCUCAGUUCGGAUUGGAGUCUGCAACUCGACUCUAUGAAGCUGGAAUCGCUAGUAAUCGCGCAUCAGCCAUGGCGCGGUGAAUACGUUCCCGGGCCU
This 1345-nucleotide ribosomal RNA is filed under the name uncultured bacterium. RNAcentral's name for it is "bacterial SSU rRNA". It matches the Rfam family "Bacterial small subunit ribosomal RNA", at positions 28 to 1381 of the family's 1533-position model. The record is from RNAcentral.